Molecule: transfer RNA, 68 nt
Filed under: Acanthodactylus erythrurus lineomaculatus
Lineage: Eukaryota; Metazoa; Chordata; Lepidosauria; Squamata; Lacertidae
Description: tRNA-Glu
Source: RNAcentral
GUUUUAGUAGUUGAAUAACAACGGCGGUUUUUCGAGUCGCAGGUUUUGGCAUGAGUCAAAUUAAAAUA